Gordionus sp. m RMFG-2023 is the source of this 712-nucleotide long non-coding RNA. RefSeq lists it as uncharacterized. The record is from RefSeq and is a predicted model, not a curated record. The transcript has 3 exons. NCBI's taxonomy places the organism in Eukaryota, Metazoa, Nematomorpha, Gordioida, Chordodea, Parachordodidae.
AGGAAUAUCUCAAUUAAUAUUCACACCAAGGGGUAAAAAAAAUAGUGAUAACAAACAAAAAAAUACACUAAGUCACAACAAAUCACUAUCUAAUAAAUAUAUAUAAAAAAUCUAGGGAGAAUUUAAAUGGAAAUGAAGUUCCACUCAUGUCAGCAAUUCCCACAUACUCCAGAAAACUAAAGGAUAAUAGACAACCAAUUAUACUAGAUCAUUUAGAACCAUCACCUACUACAAGUGAUAUAGUCUAUUACUUUAUACUUAUAAUAAUCAAAAGUUGGUUCCAAAGCUAACAUGUCAUCUAUGAUUAUUAGCCUAGGUUUCUCAAUAUUAAUUUUAAACAUCUAUCAUAUAUUGGUAAAAAAAUAUUGCCAACACAAUUUUGAUUUUUUCACUUUGAAGGAUAUCGACUUAAAUUUACAGUUUAAAAAAAACAUUUAUUUUUUAAUCUAUAGUUUUAAUGUGUUUACUAAUUAUAAAAUAUAUCAUUUAUAAUUAAGGCAAUAUAAUAUUUAUAAUUAAAGCAAUUUAUAUGUGUAAUACUAAUAUUUAUAAUUAAGGCAAUAUAAUAUUUAUAAUUAAAGCAAUAUAAUAUUUAUAAUUAAAGCAAUAUAAUAUUUAUAAUUAAAGCAAUAUAAUAUUUAUAAUUAAAUCAAUAUAAUAUUUAUAUUUUAAAUAAUCGCUUUUUAUUUGUAAAUAACUUCUAAAAGUAUAA